Long non-coding RNA from Danaus plexippus (monarch butterfly), 834 nucleotides. RefSeq lists it as uncharacterized. The record is from RefSeq and is a predicted model, not a curated record. NCBI's taxonomy places the organism in Eukaryota, Metazoa, Arthropoda, Insecta, Lepidoptera, Nymphalidae. The transcript is spliced from 2 exons.
GACGCUGUUAUAAAUGAAUAGGUAUAUGAUAAUAUUAUCCAUCAGUCUAUACCCGAGAGAGCUUAUACAAGCUAUUUACAUUUAAAUUAUAGAUAAUACACUACAAAACACAUAAAUGGUCUCAAUAACAAGUUUAUUUACAUAGACGACGUGCAUUCCGGAAACCUACUUCAAUUUCAUCAACUAUUUAUAUUAUGGCGGUAUAAAAUUUAAAUAUACAUUAAGAGGGUCCAUUUGAGCCAGCAGGAAUGACUGACGGUCAUCACUACGAGGCGGGCAAACAGCGGAGCGGCUCACGACAGCGAUCACACCCCAUACUGACGGUACCACUACACUAUUACGCGAUACACUUACUACUGGCGACGCACGGUAGCUGGGCCUGUUUACAAAAUAAAGCCUAUUUAGAGCGAGGGCGAAGGGCCGGCUCGUCGCGCGGCGUUCGACCGAAUAAAGGUAACAGGCAGGCGGCUCGUUUGUUAGGCAGGGGCAGAGGGACCGGCUCCGCGGUGAGAUCAAAAGCGCCGCAGAUCAAAGGAGCCGCCGCGCGAUCGGCAUCCGUCAUUAUUAUUAUGCAAGCAUUACGGAGCGCGUGACUCAGGCGAGUAGGCCACGCGAGCUGCGCGGGCGCCGGUGAAACCCCCCACACCCCUUCCUCAACCCCUAACACAUCCCCAUGCCAUGAAGCACCUGUUUCGUAAGUGUAAAAUUUAACCCUAAAUUCUCAAAGCACGUUUUCGCACCGACCAUUCCGUGUACUCGCCUCACGCCUCAUUAAACUUAAUAACUUUGUUUGCAAGAAAGUACUUAAAACAAUACAGAAUUGUUUCUCAGUAA